UGGGGAAUUUUGGACAAUGGGCGAAAGCCUGAUCCAGCAAUGCCGCGUGUGUGAAGAAGGCCUUCGGGUUGUAAAGCACUUUUGUCCGGAAAGAAAUCCUUGGCUCUAAUACAGUCGGGGGAUGACGGUACCGGAAGAAUAAGCACCGGCUAACUACGUGCCAGCAGCCGCGGUAAUACGUAGGGUGCAAGCGUUAAUCGGAAUUACUGGGCGUAAAGCGUGCGCAGGCGGUUUGCUAAGACCGAUGUGAAAUCCCCGGGCUCAACCUGGGAACUGCAUUGGUGACUGGCAGGCUAGAGUAUGGCAGAGGGGGGUAGAAUUCCACGUGUAGCAGUGAAAUGCGUAGAGAUGUGGAGGAAUACCGAUGGCGAAGGCAGCCCCCUGGGCCAAUACUGACGCUCAUGCACGAAAGCGUGGGGAGCAAACAGGAUUAGAUACCCUGGUAGUCCACGCCCUAAAACGAUGUCAACUAGUUGUUGGGGAUUCAUUUCCUUAGUAACGUAGCUAACGCGUGAAGUUGACCGCCUGGGGAGUGCGGUCGCAAGAUUAAAACUUAAAUGAAUUGACGGGGUCAUAGCUGUUUCCU
Molecule: ribosomal RNA, 586 nt
Filed under: uncultured bacterium
Lineage: Bacteria
Description: partial 16S ribosomal RNA
Rfam family: Bacterial small subunit ribosomal RNA
Source: RNAcentral